RNAcentral lists this ribosomal RNA (441 nucleotides) under uncultured bacterium. RNAcentral's name for it is "bacterial SSU rRNA". It matches the Rfam family "Bacterial small subunit ribosomal RNA", at positions 355 to 796 of the family's 1533-position model. The record is from RNAcentral.
UGGGGAAUCUUGCGCAAUGGCCGCAAGGCUGACGCAGCGACGCCGCGUGCGGGAGGACGCCCUUCGGGGUGUAAACCGCUGUUGCCCGGGACGAACGAGCGGUUUCGACCGCUGUGACGGUACCGGGUGAGGAAGCACCGGCUAACUCCGUGCCAGCAGCCGCGGUAAUACGGAGGGUGCGAGCGUUGUCCGGAAUCACUGGGCGUAAAGGGCGCGUAGGCGGCUUUUUAAGUGUGCGGUGAAAGCCCGGGGCUCAACCCCGGGUCGGCCGUGCAAACUGGGAGGCUUGAGCACUGUAGAGGCGGGUGGAAUUCCGGGUGUAGCGGUGGAAUGCGUAGAGAUCCGGAAGAACACCGGUGGCGAAGGCGGCCCGCUGGGCAGGAGCUGACGCUGAUGCGCGACAGCGUGGGGAGCAAACAGGAUUAGAUACCCGUGUAGUCC